Molecule: ribosomal RNA, 484 nt
Filed under: uncultured bacterium
Lineage: Bacteria
Description: partial 16S ribosomal RNA
Rfam family: Bacterial small subunit ribosomal RNA
Source: RNAcentral
AUUGAACGCUGGCGGCAGGCCUAACACAUGCCAGUCGAGCGGAUGAAGGGAGCUUGCUCCUGGAUUCAGCGGCGGACGGGUGAGUAAUGCCUAGGAAUCUGCCUGGUAGUGGGGGAUAACGUCCGGAGACGGGCGCUAAUACCGCAUACGUCCUGAGGGAGAAAGUGGGGGAUCUUCGGACCUCACGCUAUCAGAUGAGCCUAGGUCGGAUUAGCUAGUUGGUGGGGUAAAGGCCUACCAAGGCGACGAUCCGUAACUGGUCUGAGAGGAUGAUCAGUCACACUGGAACUGAGACACGGUCCAGACUCCUACGGGAGGCAGCAGUGGGGAAUAUUGGACAAUGGGCGAAAGCCUGAUCCAGCCAUGCCGCGUGUGUGAAGAAGGUCUUCGGAUUGCAAAGCACUUUAAGUUGGGAGGAAGGGCAGUAAGUUAAUACCUUGCUGUUUUGACGUUACCAACAGAAUAAGCACCGGCUAACUUCGUG